This 432-nucleotide ribosomal RNA is filed under the name uncultured bacterium. Its description in RNAcentral is "partial 16S ribosomal RNA". It matches the Rfam family "Bacterial small subunit ribosomal RNA", at positions 29 to 509 of the family's 1533-position model. The record is from RNAcentral.
ACGAACGCUGGCGGCAUGCCUAACACAUGCAAGUCGAACGAGACCUUCGGGUCUAGUGGCGCACGGGUGCGUAACGCGUGGGAACCUGCCCUUAGGUUCGGAAUAACUCCCCGAAAGGGGUGCUAAUACCGGAUAAUGUCUUCGGACCAAAGAUUUAUCGCCUUUGGAUGGGCCCGCGUUGGAUUAGCUAGUUGGUAGGGUAAAAGCCUACCAAGGCGACGAUCCAUAGCUGGUCUGAGAGGAUGAUCAGCCACACUGGGACUGAGACACGGCCCAGACUCCUCGGGGAGGAGGAGGGGGGGAAUAUUGAAAAAGGGGCGAAAGCUGGACCCACCAAUGCCGCGGGAGGAAUAAAGGCUUGGGGGUUGAAAAGCUUUUUCCCCCGGGAUGAAAAGAACAGACCCGGAAAAAAAGGCCCGGCCAACCCCCGCC